GCUGCAGGUGCUUGCUGCUACCUAAAGUAGCAUUUCAUUAGCAAGCAAGCCACCAACAAGUGUGAUUUUAUCACUUCAAGAUGACUUUGUGGAGAAAAUAAUGGUGUUUUUGACACUCUAUUGCUGCUGCUUGGGUACAGAAAGGUCUUCUGCCUUCAUUCACAUCAGCUGUGGGCCACACAGGUGCACUUGAAGCCAGAUGUAAGGCCAUGAUGUAGCAGCUUGGCACCAGGUCAGGAGGACACUCUUCCCAAAGGAGGAGCCAGGGGGGCAAGACUCACGCCAACUGAGCUAUGGCUCUGUCCAGAUGUCUCCUCAUCCUUUCCUGACAUGACUUGAUGACUCCCACUUCCUUGUUGCAAUGCAGGUCUGGUCUUAUGGACAGAGUGAGAACCACUUUUGAAGAUCCAUUCCUAUCAAUGGGGAGCCUCAUAGCCUGAUUCUACCUGGAACGCUGACCCUAACCUGCACCUUUUGCCGCUGACAUCGACUCCAAUUCACCAAUGCUAGGUUCGACUACAAAGAGUGUCGACGGUUAACACCCAUGAUUAAAGACCAUAAGGAUAACAUGAUGGAUUACAAGGAGAAUAUACGCCUCCUCAGACUAAACAAAGGAAGAAAUGAUUGUUGAUUAGUCUGGGAAUGAUUUUCACUGUUUGUUCAAAGGUGUAUUUAAGUGAUGCUACAUUAAAGGACUCAACAUAAGAGGUUCUCCUCAAGGAUCACUCUAGAAACAACAUGAACUGUAAUCCUAACCCUCCAAAAUUACAGCCCACUAAGCGCCAAAUUCUGGUUAAAAUCAGCCUUUGCCAAGUCAAUUUUGAGAAGAGUAACAAUAUAAUUGUACUUUUGGAAAAAGAGGCAUUUAAAGUAUGAUUGAUUGAUUGAUUAUACAUCAAUUUUGCACAGAAGGUCUUUAGAGAUCAUGUGAUAUGAAGAGUAAAAUUUGAAUCAAACGUUUUACGGCAUCAGUGAUUUUCCUAAUUUAACAGCUCAUAGUUUGUAUUUCAUAAAGUCCUUCACAGCUGUUUGAUUGUUUAUGUAAAAUAAAUACCAAUCUGU
Sebastes umbrosus (honeycomb rockfish) is the source of this 1062-nucleotide long non-coding RNA. RefSeq lists it as uncharacterized. The record is from RefSeq and is a predicted model, not a curated record. NCBI's taxonomy places the organism in Eukaryota, Metazoa, Chordata, Actinopteri, Perciformes, Sebastidae. The transcript has 5 exons.